UACGUAGGGUGCGAGCGUUGUCCGGAAUUACUGGGCGUAAAGAGCUCGUAGGUGGUUUGUCGCGUUGUUCGUGAAAUCUCACGGCUUAACUGUGAGCGUGCGGGCGAUACGGGCAGACUAGAGUGACGGUCAGGGGAGACUGGAAUUCCUGGUGUAGCGGUGAAUGCGCAGAUAUCAGGAGGAACACCGGUGGCGAAGGCGGGUCUCUGG
Molecule: ribosomal RNA, 210 nt
Filed under: uncultured bacterium
Lineage: Bacteria
Description: partial 16S ribosomal RNA
Rfam family: Bacterial small subunit ribosomal RNA
Source: RNAcentral